CUCGGCGCCGGGCGCGGGCUCCGGGCUGGGGCGAGCGAUCGCCGGG
Molecule: microRNA precursor, 46 nt
Organism: Loxodonta africana (African savanna elephant)
Lineage: Eukaryota; Metazoa; Chordata; Mammalia; Proboscidea; Elephantidae
Source: Ensembl